UGGGUUGUAGCUCAGUGGUAGAGCGCUCGCCUAGCAUAUGUGAGGCCCUGGGCUCCAUUCUCAGCAUCACAU
Molecule: non-coding RNA, 72 nt
Organism: Ictidomys tridecemlineatus (thirteen-lined ground squirrel)
Lineage: Eukaryota; Metazoa; Chordata; Mammalia; Rodentia; Sciuridae
Source: Rfam